UGGGGAAUAUUGCACAAUGGGGGAAACCCUGAUGCAGCGACGCCGCGUGAGCGAUGAAGGCUUUCGAGUCGUAAAGCUCUGUCCUAUGGGAAGAUAAUGACGGUACCAUAGAAGAAAGCCCCGGCUAAUUACGUGCCAGCAGCCGCGGUAAUACGUAAGGGGCGAGCGUUGUCCGGAAUUAUUGGGCGUAAAGAGUGCGUAGGCGGCAAAUUAAGUCAGAUGUGAAAACUAAGGGCUCAACCCAUAGAUUGCAUCUGAAACUGAUAUGCUUGAGUCAAGGAGAGGAAAGUGGAAUUCCUAGUGUAGCGGUGGAAUGCGUAGAUAUUAGGAGGAAUACCGGUGGCUAAGGCGACUUUCUGGACUUGAACUGACGCUGAGGCACGAAAGCGUGGGGAGCAAACAGG
Molecule: ribosomal RNA, 404 nt
Filed under: Bacteroidota bacterium
Lineage: Bacteria; Pseudomonadati; Bacteroidota
Description: Bacteroidetes bacterium partial 16S ribosomal RNA
Rfam family: Bacterial small subunit ribosomal RNA
Source: RNAcentral